This 504-nucleotide ribosomal RNA is filed under the name Triticum aestivum (bread wheat). Its description in RNAcentral is "partial small subunit ribosomal RNA". Lineage: Eukaryota; Viridiplantae; Streptophyta; Magnoliopsida; Poales; Poaceae. The record is from RNAcentral.
AUGACAGUGAAACUGGCCGGACCCUGCGACGUACGGCACUGCUGUAGGUGCGAUCUCCAUUGUUACGACAGCCUUGACCAUUUACUGAACCAAGUAGUAGCACAUGCUACUCCCAGCUUACCAGGAAGCACUACUAAUCACAUCCAAGAUGUGCAUACACGCACCACAUCCCCUGGGUACACAGCUGCCGCAGGAGCGCUCAAGGACAGCUUGUGCACGCGGGCACAGCGGCUCAGCAGAGGCAAGCAGGGACGGAGUCCGGCGCAGCUGGCAGCGAUGCGUCGGGUUUCGCCGGCGCGUGGACACAGCGGCGUGCUACCCAGCCUUCACGGGACGUGGCGGAAAGAGAGCCGGUCUCGGCCACUGGAGUAUACUGCGGCCGAAGCGGCGUCGGGCUAUGUCAAUUUUGGAGGCGGCGGCUCAGAGGUGCCCCAACAAAUUGGCAACGGAGGGGCGGACCACGGUCAGAGGACCAGGCAGUGGCGACUUAACCUCGGCCAUUAA